This 1153-nucleotide long non-coding RNA is filed under the name Phascolarctos cinereus (koala). Its description in RNAcentral is "lncRNA (ENSPCIG00000025447.2)". Lineage: Eukaryota; Metazoa; Chordata; Mammalia; Diprotodontia; Phascolarctidae. The record is from RNAcentral.
CUGGCGUUCAAGUUUCCGUGUUCCCAGCCGCUGGCAGGUUUGCCAGCUGCGCGAAUGCGGGGGACCGGAGGACCCUCCUGGGCUCACGCUGUGCUUGGAGAUGGAGCCGCUGAGGGCCGAGAUGUACUGAAGCAGAGCGGUGCUUCGAUAUAAACCGAAACACCUUCGUUACCCCCUGCCCAGCGAUCUUAUUACAGUAAUUGUUUCUGGUAGCGUCAGAUUCAUUGCAUUUUUGGAGAAGAUCUUAAGGUAUCCUCAAACCUAUGCCUAUGCCUUCUUCAGAUGAUCAACUAUCACGUCCUUCAGGAGAAUACAAGGCGAAACACUCCAGAAUUUUGUUUGGGACCCUUCUUGGACACGGCCUCUGUGAAUGAUGAAUAUAAGUGAAAAAGUACUCAUAAAAGAGUUCAGGAAUCUAGUCAGCUGAAUUUCCAGUGAUAAUCUCAAUUGCAAGAUCUAGUCACAAUUAUUUCCUUGGAUUUUAUCCAUGUUAUUGUUUAUUGCAUCUUUAAUUCUGGUCCUAUGAUAUGUAAAGUAUAAGGUGUUGUUUUGUCUUGUUUUGUUUUGUUUUUAAUUGCCCAGGUAAAGGUGUCUGUUCACUUUCGAACAGAUGGAACCCCUCAGGAUAAAUCAGCUACACUUGUACUUUUGUCUGAAAGUUAGGGCUGAGAGGGCACUAAGAAUUCCAGGAAGCCAAAAAUUUCUGAGUAAUGUAUGAAUCACAGAGAAGAAAUCUGCUGCCUUCUUUUCCUUGGAGGGAAUGUUAAAAACUGAUCCCUUUUGAUAACAUAACAAGGUCAAUAGGUUUUUGAAGCUUCAUUGCUUUGCCUUAACAUGUCUCUUGUCAUGGGGUAACAAAAGUAUUUAUGCCCAAGGACUGGCCAGGGAAAAGUGAGUCUCCACUCCCUGCUUAGAGUUUUUAAGCAGCUGGAACCGGUUGAUCCUGGCUCUCUGAGGUUCCCAGGUUGGCUGAACCUACCAAAGGAGGGACCAGGACUUGGAUUCCUCUUGCCUUCACAUACACCCUCAAAAUUUCAUAGAACUUCCUGUGUGUAUAGAAAAUUGGCUUAAAUGUUUGUCAAAUUAUUUGCAUCACCAAACUUAAUGUCUUCUCUUCCAACCUGCAUUAAUAAAUAGGCUUAGCUGCUUAGCA